GGGACGGACAGUCGCGCUGCGUGCCCCAACGGGUGCACGGUGAGGAAAGUCCGGGCUCCAUAGGGCAAGGAUAACGGGUAACGCCCGCCGAAGGCGACUUUAGGACAAGUGCAACAGAGAGAUACCGCCCCGUUUCGGGGUAAGGGUGGAAAGGUGAGGUAAGAGCUCACCCGCCGCAUGGGAACAUCGCGGUGCUGUAAACUCUAUCCGGAGCAACACCGUGGAGGAGACAUUGGUCUGCCCGACCGUCUCCGAGGAGGUGGCUUGAGCGUAUCGGCAACGGUGCGCCAAGAUAGAUGACUGUCGAUUACAGAACCCGGCUUACAGUCCCGAUC
RNAcentral lists this RNase P RNA (335 nucleotides) under human gut metagenome. RNAcentral's name for it is "Bacterial RNase P class A". It matches the Rfam family "Bacterial RNase P class A". Rfam says of the family: Ribonuclease P (RNase P) is a ubiquitous endoribonuclease, found in archaea, bacteria and eukarya as well as chloroplasts and mitochondria. Its best characterised activity is the generation of mature 5'-ends of tRNAs by cleaving the 5'-leader elements of precursor-tRNAs. The record is from RNAcentral.